CGCCUCUUGAAAAAAUAUAAGAGGUCCCGCCUGCCCACUGACCAAGUUCAACGGCCGCGGUAUCCUGACCGUGCGAAGGUAGCGUAAUCACUUGUUUUUUAAAUAAAGACUAGUAUGAAAGGCCCCACGAGAGUUAAACUGUCUCCUCUUUCUAAUCAGUGAAACUAAUCUUCCCGUGAAGAAGCGGGAAUUUUUUUAUAAGACGAGAAGACCCUAUGGAGCUCCAGACAAAAUAAUACUGCUUCCUCCUGUUCCCUUUUGAGAAACAUACCCCCUGCAGCACCCUAAUUAUAAGUCUUGGGUUGGGGCGACCGCGGAGUAAAAAUUACCCUCCACGUUGAACAGAACUCUUCUUAAAUAAAGAACCACAACUCUAUGCAUCAAUAAAUUGACACAUUUGACCCAAUUACUUGAUCAACGAAACAAGUUACCCUAGGGAUAACAGCGCAAUCCACUUCAAGAGCCCUUAUCAACAAGUGGGUUUACGACCUCGAUGUUGGAUCAGGGUACCCCAGUGGCGCAGCCGCUACUAAAGGUUUGUUUGUUCAACAAUUAAAACCCUACGUGAUCUGAGU
RNAcentral lists this ribosomal RNA (575 nucleotides) under Ischnocnema parva. Its description in RNAcentral is "partial 16S ribosomal RNA". It matches the Rfam family "Bacterial large subunit ribosomal RNA", at positions 1819 to 2610 of the family's 2925-position model. Lineage: Eukaryota; Metazoa; Chordata; Amphibia; Anura; Brachycephalidae. The record is from RNAcentral.